GCUCUACGCAUGCGCAUUGUUUUAUUAGUUAUGCAUUUACCUCAUAUUUCAUUUUCAUGGACUAAACUACUAAAAUGCGUGUCUGAGUCUCAGUUUUCGCUUUGGACGUUUCUGUUAAAUGACUUAAAGCAUGUCCCAAGUCAUGUACAAAAUGGUUCCCGUCGUCACGUUGCAGAAACUAUUAUGAAAUCUGGAAAGUGGACUUCGCUCAGUUUGCUGUAUUUUCGUGCCCUUCCGAGCCUCCAAGUAACGGUAAGUCGAUGUCAAAAGAAAAACAUGAAGAAAUUCUUCACAUGACAAAGGGUAUGUAAAAUUAGGUCAACUGACAAGGUAUUGAGCAUAAAUACCUUGAUCCUUUGGUGGUGAAUUCAUUGGCAUUUUAGUAUCAUCAUUGCUUGCAGUCUGUAUGAAAUAACAAAUUUUUUAUGAGUUAUUCAGUGAUGAACAGUAAAUAACCAUAAUUCCAUGAAAGAGUGUUGAAUUAGUUGCACACCUGUUUUGGAGUUUUUGGUGCUUUUUGCCUCUUUUUUAUAAAAACAAUUAUAACUAUGACUAUUAUAACAACGAUUAUAGGAACAACAAUUCCAGCAAUAGCUCCACCCUCCAGACCACCACCACUAGAUCUCUCUUUGUUUAUUGGAUUAUCUGUACAAAUCAAAUUUAGUCAUUAGCCUAAUAGCUUAGUAUUUAACAUUUUCCAUUGAAUAUAACUGUAGAAUUUAUGAA
Long non-coding RNA from Xenia sp. Carnegie-2017, 726 nucleotides. RefSeq lists it as uncharacterized. The transcript is spliced from 2 exons. Lineage: Eukaryota; Metazoa; Cnidaria; Anthozoa; Malacalcyonacea; Xeniidae. The record is from RefSeq and is a predicted model, not a curated record.